GAUGAACGCUGGCGGCGUGCCUAAUACAUGCAAGUCGAGCGAACAGACGAGGAGCUUGCUCCUUUGACGUUAGCGGCGGACGGGUGAGUAACAUGUGGAUAACCUACCUAUAAGACUGGGAUAAUUUCGGGAAACCGGAGCUAAUACCGGAUAAUAUAUUGAACCGCAUGGUUCAAUAGUGAAAGUCGGUUUUGCUGUCACUUAUAGAUGGAUCCGCGCCGCAUUAGCUAGUUGGUAAGGUAACGGCCUACCAAGGCAACGAUGCGUAGCCGACCGGAGAGAGGGGUCGGCGGCACGGGAGGUUGAACGGGGACAAGGGUCCUGCGGGAGGCAGCAGUAUGGUAUCUGCCGCAGUGGGCGGAAACCUGACGGAGCAACGCGGCGUGAGUGGUGGAGGUCUUCGGAUCGUGAAACUGGGUUAUGAGGUAAGAACAAAUGUGGAAGGAACUGUACACGUCUUGACGGUACCUAAUCAGAAAGCCACGGCUAACUACGUG
This 497-nucleotide ribosomal RNA is filed under the name uncultured bacterium. RNAcentral's name for it is "partial 16S ribosomal RNA". It matches the Rfam family "Bacterial small subunit ribosomal RNA", at positions 28 to 507 of the family's 1533-position model. The record is from RNAcentral.